This 1355-nucleotide ribosomal RNA is filed under the name uncultured bacterium. RNAcentral's name for it is "bacterial SSU rRNA". It matches the Rfam family "Bacterial small subunit ribosomal RNA", at positions 28 to 1383 of the family's 1533-position model. The record is from RNAcentral.
AUUGAAAGCUGGCUGCAUGCCUUACGCAUGCCCGUCAAACGGAAACGGGCCCAUCUCGAUGCCGACAAGUGGCGAACGGGAUGAGUAAUAUAUCUUAACGUGCCCAGAAUUGGGGGAUAACUGCUCGAAAGAGCUCCUAAUACCGCAUACUACCUGACGGGGAAAGGGGGGGAUCGCAAGACCUCUCGCUAUUGAAGCGGUCCACAUCUUAUUACCUAUUUGGAGGGGUAAAGGCCUACCAAGGCCACAAUCUGUGAUUGGUCUGAAAGGACGACCAUGCACUCUGGGACUGACACACGGCCCAAACUCCUACCGCAGGCUGACGAGGGCAAUUUUGGACCAGGCGCCCAAGCCUGAUCCAACCUUGCCACGUGCAGGAAUAACGCCUUCAUGUUGUAAACUGCUUUUGUCCUGCAAGAUACCUUCUGGGCUAAUACCCCCGGAAGAUGACGGGACCUGAACAAUAAACUCCGGCUAACUACAUGCCUGCAGCCGCGCUAAUACGUAGGAUGGGAGCGUGCAUCAGAAUCACUGGUCAUUCAGCGAGCGCAUGCGGCUUUGAAAGAUCGAUGUGAAAUCCCCGGACUCACCCUGUAACCUGCCUUUGUGACUGCACGCGUCUACUACGGCCAGGGCGAUGGAAUUCCGCAUGUACCACUUAACCGCCUAGAUAUCCUCCAUGAACACCAAUGGUUAACGCAAUCCCCUGGGCCUGUACUGACCCUCAUGCACGAAAGCGGGGGGAGCAAACAGGAUUAAAUACCCUGGUAGUCCACGCCCUAAACGAUGAUCGCUGGUUGUUGGACCGCUUGCUGUAUCCUAACGAAAACUCAUCGCGUGAAGUUGACCGCCUGGGGAGAACCGACGCCAGGGUGAAACCCCAAAGAAUUGGCGGGGACCCGCACAACCGGUGGACGAUGUGGUUUAAUUCGAUGCAGACGCGAAAAACCUGACAACCCCUUGCCAUCUCAAGAAUUCUGCAGAGAAGGGAAGUGCUCGAAAGAGAACUUGACCACAGGUGGCGCACGGCAGUAGUCAGCUCGGGUCGUCAGAUGCAGGGUUAAGUCUCGCAACGAGAGCUACCCUAGUCAUUAUUUGCUACGCGAGACCACUCUUAUGAGACUACCGGAGACAAACCGGAGGAAGGUGGGGAUGGAGCCAGGUCCUCAUGGCCAUUAUGGGCAGGGGUCCACCCGUCAUACAAUGGCCGGUACAGAGGGCUCCCAACCCGUGAGGGGGAGCCAAUCCCAGAAAACCGGUGGUAGUCCGGAUCGUAGUAUUCAACUAGGAAGCGCGAAGUCGGAAUCUCUAGUAAUCGCGGAUCAGCUUGCGGCGGAGAACACGUUCCCGGCUUG